UAGGGAAUAUUGGGCAAUGGGCGAGAGCCUGACCCAGCCAUGCCGCGUGCAGGAAGAAGGCUUUCUGAGUCGUAAACUGCUUUUGACAGGGAAGAAUAAGCGCUACGUGUAGCGUGAUGACGGUACCUGCAGAAUAAGCACCGGCUAACUCCGUGCCAGCAGCCGCGGUAAUACGGAGGGUGCGAGCGUUGUCCGGAUUUAUUGGGUUUAAAGGGUGCGUAGGCGGCCCGUUAAGUCCGGGGUGAAAGCCCGUUGCUCAACAACGGAACUGCCCUGGAUACUGACGGGCUUGAGUACAGACGAGGUUGGCGGAAUGGACCGAGUAACGGUGAAAUGCAUAGAUACGGUCCAGAACCCCGAUUGCGAAGGCAGCUGACUAGGCUGUUACUGACGCUGAGGCACGACAGCGUGGGGAGCGAACAGG
RNAcentral lists this ribosomal RNA (424 nucleotides) under Bacillota bacterium. RNAcentral's name for it is "Firmicutes bacterium partial 16S ribosomal RNA". It matches the Rfam family "Bacterial small subunit ribosomal RNA", at positions 355 to 776 of the family's 1533-position model. The record is from RNAcentral. Lineage: Bacteria; Bacillati; Bacillota.